GAUGAAGAACGUAGCGAAAUGCGAUACGUAAUGUGAAUUGCAGAAUUCAGUGAAUCAUCGAGUCUUUGAACGCACAUUGCGCCCCCUGGUAUUCCGGGGGGCAUGCCUGUCCGAGCGUCAUUGCUGCCCUCAAGCACGGCUUGUGUGUUGGGCCUCCGUCCUCCUCCCGGGGGACGGGCCCGAAAGGCAGCGGCGGCACCGCGUCCGGUCCUCGAGCGUAUGGGGCUUCGUCACCCGCUCUUGUAGGCCCGGCCGGCGCUUGCCGACACCCAACUUUAUUUCUAAGGUUGACCUCGGAUCAGGUAGGGAUACCCGCUGAACUUAAGCAUAUCAAUAAGCGGAGGA
This 345-nucleotide unclassified non-coding RNA is filed under the name soil metagenome. RNAcentral's name for it is "partial contains 5.8S ribosomal RNA, internal transcribed spacer 2, and large subunit ribosomal RNA". The stretch from base 1 to 120 matches the Rfam family "5.8S ribosomal RNA", at positions 35 to 154 of the family's 154-position model. The record is from RNAcentral.